This 253-nucleotide ribosomal RNA is filed under the name uncultured bacterium. RNAcentral describes it as "partial 16S ribosomal RNA". It matches the Rfam family "Bacterial small subunit ribosomal RNA", at positions 524 to 776 of the family's 1533-position model. The record is from RNAcentral.
UACGGAGGGCGCAAGCGUUGUUCGGAAUUACUGGGCGUAAAGCGCGUGUAGGUGGCCUGGCAAGUCGGGUGUGAAAUCCCGGAGCUCAACUCCGGAACUGCAUCCGAUACUGCCAAGCUCGAGUCUCGGAGAGGAUGGCGGAAUUUCCGGUGUAGAGGUGAAAUUCGUAGAUAUCGGAAGGAACACCAGUGGCGAAGGCGGCCGUCUGGACGAUGACUGACACUGAGACGCGAAAGCGUGGGGAGCAAACAGG